AUAACGCCUGUAUAACCCUUACGCGAGUAGACCCGGGGAGCGGUGGAUGGUCACCUCCUGACGACUCAUUGUCUGCCAUCGCUGGAUGUUAUAGACUGGAAGCUAUAAAAGUAUUAUGAAAAGUGUAGUUAAAUAUUGCAAUAUGAAUUAUGCCUUCCAAGUGUGUGGAUUUAUCCUUUAUAUGGUCCGUCUGUGUUGGGCCUUAUCCUUUAUAUGGUGCGUCCUCUCCCUUACAGGGCCCCGUAAGGCAUCUUAUAAAUCCUUAAAUUCCUUACGGGAGUCACCGUAACCGGCCUUCGGCCUGUUCGGGGGCGGCCCCGUACGGGGCGCUUCGCGCCCCAAAAUCUUUACGGGAGCCACCGCAAAGUCCUACGGACCCGUACGGGGAUACCGAAAAAAGGCCAAAAACUUACGGGCCCCGUACGGGGUGUCGAACGCUGUAAGGGUGGUUUCCUGUAGGGCUUUGGGUUUUGGGUUUUGGGUUUUGGGUUUUAGGGUUUUGGGAUUUUUGGUUUUUGGUUUGGUUUUAGGGUAUCCAGAUUCCUAGCUUAAGGGUUUCGCGGGUUCCUGGUUUAGGGUUUCACUCUAGGGUUGCGAGGGUUCCUGGUUUAGGGUUUCAAACUCUAGGGUUGCGAGGGUUCCUGGUUUAGGGUUUCAAACUCUAGGGUUGCGAGGGUUCCUGGUUUAGGGUUUCAAACUCUAGGGUUGCGAGGGUUCCUGGUUUAGGGUUGCGGGGGUCCCAGGGUUUAAGGUUUCAGGGUAUCGCGGGGUUUAGGGUUUUAGGGUUUUAGGGUGUUUAGGGUUUUAGGGUUUUAGGGUUUUAGGGUUUUAGGGUUUUAGGGUUUUAGGGUUUUAGGGUUUUAGGGUUUUAGGGUUUUAGGGUUUUAGGGUUUUAGGGUUUUAGGGUUUUAGGGUUUUAGGGGUUUUAGGGUUUUAGGGUUUUAGGGUUUUAGGGUUUUAGGGUUAUUAGGGUUUUUAGGGUUUUAGGGUUUUAGGGUUUUAGGGUUUUAGGGUUUUAGGGUUUUAGGGUUUAGGGUUUAGGGUUUAGGGUUUAGGGUUUUAGGGUUUUAGGGUUUUAGGGUUUUUAGGGUUUUAGGGUUUUAGGGUUUUAGGGUUUUAGGGUUUUAGGGUUUUAGGGUUUUAGGGUUUUAGGGUUUUAGGGUUUUAGGGUUUUAGGGUUUUGGGUUUAGGGUUUUAGGGUUUUAGGGUUUUAGGGUUUAGGGUUUUAGGGUUUUAGGGUUUUAGGGUUUUAGGGUUUUAGGGUUUUAGGGUUUAGGGUUCUAGGAUUU
This 1289-nucleotide long non-coding RNA is filed under the name Volvox carteri. RNAcentral describes it as "long non-coding RNA (VCAR_LNC003002)". The record is from RNAcentral. Lineage: Eukaryota; Viridiplantae; Chlorophyta; Chlorophyceae; Chlamydomonadales; Volvocaceae.